UGCUGUGAAGAGGCUAGAUAUACUGAAUUUGUGAUGAAGGGCCAAAGCUCGGAGC
This 55-nucleotide small nucleolar RNA is filed under the name Sulfurisphaera tokodaii str. 7. RNAcentral describes it as "Sulfolobus tokodaii str. 7 Small nucleolar RNA sR14". It matches the Rfam family "Small nucleolar RNA sR14". Lineage: Archaea; Thermoproteati; Thermoproteota; Thermoprotei; Sulfolobales; Sulfolobaceae. The record is from Rfam by way of RNAcentral.